This 320-nucleotide unclassified non-coding RNA is filed under the name Hevea brasiliensis (rubber tree). The record is from RNAcentral. Lineage: Eukaryota; Viridiplantae; Streptophyta; Magnoliopsida; Malpighiales; Euphorbiaceae.
AAGAAUUACAUGAACAUUACAAAAUUUAAACCCUACAAAGAAAACAGGAUACCUAAAUUUCCCUGAAAACUUUUACUGGUUAUAAUAAACUUACUAGGACUUAUUACUUCCAGACUUAUUAGGACUUCAUGUUACGACUCAAAACUGAAGUACACUUAAAUUAAGAUUCAAGAUACCCAUUCCAGCAAAAUUGCAAAAAUACUUAAAUACUCUUUAUUUUUAAAAUAUACGAGUCAUUGAUCCAAUUACAAUAUGAAGUCGUUUAUUGUGCAUCACCCUCUGCCCACAACUUCAUAUGAGAGACUCUCCCAAAUACCAAG